Molecule: long non-coding RNA, 2535 nt
Organism: Salvia splendens (bonfire salvia)
Lineage: Eukaryota; Viridiplantae; Streptophyta; Magnoliopsida; Lamiales; Lamiaceae
Exons: 4
Source: RefSeq, a predicted model, not a curated record
AAAUAUGCAAUCAACGAUCUUAAUCAACACAUAUUAAUAGAGUGUGAUUAAAAUUACAUUCAAUCAAUCAAAUAAACUGGAGUAUAUUUAAUCAUUGAUCAUCAGCAAAACAAACAAACUUGUACAUGCCUGCCGCCGCCGCUUCUUCUUCUUAAGCGGAGUCACAGCAGCAGCUCUCGCCAUCAGAGGCUGGUGUUUGAGAGAUCCUGACCGAAUUCGAUAACUCAUCACGGCAUCUGCCACCGUCGAUUCAGUUGAAUCAGAGCUUCUGACAUAUGAACUAGCGAUCGUUUGGCGGAAAAUGCUUGCCGCAACCUUCUCUUCUGAGCAAAACCUCUCAUAUUCAAGGUCCGGUUGUGAGAACUGUCACUAUUGAACAGGAGUGCUCAAGCAGAGAUAUAUCUCGGAGUAGUAUGGCUGAGGCUUCAGAAAAUUCAGGCAACCGGUGGCUGUUACCACUGAAGCUCACUGAUGGACAUUCUGAAAUAACUGCAAUGGAGUAGUACUCUCAUGUGCUGUCAUUUCCUGCUGAUAUUAGCCUCGGGACAAGGGACAUCCUUAAAUGAUCAUCGACGAAGUCUUGCUGCAAGGGUGAAUGCUCCAAGUCCAAUUUGAGUCAGACUGUCCAGCUUCAGAAAAAUAAUGCAACUACAGAUGGUUUAACUGAUGGAGUAAAGCCGCUUCACACAACUGAAGGAAAUCCUGAGAAAGCAACUGCCUCAGAAAGACCAAAAGGUAGACUUAAUGCAGCCUCUGGGUCUUUGGUAGAACUUCUAUAGCGUUGCAUAAAAGUUAUGUUUUGAUUCAGCCUUCUCAGAAUCAACUUGUAUGCACUCUGGUGUUGUAGAUGAUGGAUCAACCCCAACAUUACCUUCCUGUUAAAGUUUCAAAUAUUAAUUUUCUGAUUGUGAAUUCUGGUGCUUAUACCACAGUAAGUUACCUAUUACAGUAGUGACAUCUGUACCUGUUCAAAAUCAAGUGUUUGCCCAGAAACUUCUACAGAAGACAAGUCACCCUAGUUUUGGCGAUCGCAAUCCUAAAUUUCAGAGGCGUAUGGGAAAGGAUACUGAAGACGACUUAUCUUUGCUCACACUUGAUGAGUGGGAAACGAGGAUGAGUGGAAGUGGUCCCCAAAGCAUCACCAUUACACUCAAGAUGAGGAGCUUACAAGACAGCUGUAGAAGCAAUUUGAUUUGAAGGGAAAUCAUGUAAUCAUUUCUUGCCCAACAAUAUUUUAUAUGGAGUGCACCAUUCUGGUUAUCUUGAUGAUUGCAUCAAACCUUAUUUAUGUUUUCUGUUGCUAUAGUCACCAUCAGCAUAGCCGGAGUGUCCAUGAUCCAUAUAACAUGCCUAUAGAUUUUCCAGUUUUUGUAUUUAAACUCAUAUUAUGUGCUAUACAUUUAGGUACAAAACUGUCCUCGUAUGAUGGAUGCUAAAAGUAUAAAAAUGAUCAUGUUCAGUUUCAAAAUAGAUGACACUGGAGCUUCCGGUCGAACUGAUGCUAAAAGUAUAAAGAUGAGCAUGUUCAGUUUCGAAAGAGAUGGCUGUAGCUUCCGCUCGAACGAUUCAGGGGAAGCAGAAGAGGAUGAGGAAGAGGAAGAGGAAAGAGAUACUGAAGCACAGGUAGAGUUCAAUGUAAAUUCGCUGUUCAGCUUCUUCACCUUCUAAUCUGUUAUUUGCAAAUAAUUUAGAAAAAAAUCUUGGAAUUAUGCGUCUGAGUUUUUUGCUUUAGUGGUUAUAGCUAACAUUUCUGUGAUGUUUGUUUGUUUUUAUUAACUCAUAAGCAUCCUUAAUUUGCAAAUAAUCUGUGGUUGCACUACAUAUCUAAAUUAAAGGGUCCACUUCAAUCCACCUCUCUCUCUAGAUAGAAAACUUGAGGUAACUUUCAUGAGUUUACUUGAUUUACUUAUAUCUAUUGAACUAUAAAGUGUGUUACUUAAAGUUCAAUCUUGACUCUUUUUUGUAGCACGGCAUAGGAUCCAACUUUAAAAGUCGUUGUCGUGGUGACUGCUUUUGAGGGAAUUUUUACACUCCCGUUGGUGUUGAAUUUAAUUCUCCAUUCUUUAGCUUCAAUUUUACACUUUUCAUGAUGAAAGCUUUAACCAAACAUGUGUUGUCGUUCAAGGUUUUACAUUUUCUUUUGUCCUUUCUCUUUAGCUUUUCUCACCAAAUUCCUUAACGAGGAAGGGACAUCUUGCCAGAAAAGGAUAGAAAUGAGAGAAGGGGCCAAUCCAAAUUCAGCAAAGCAGUUAUAAUGUUGAGCGACAGAUUGACAAUGGAGAAUGUAUGUCACUGUGUCCACACUACAUGUGCUUUGGCCAAAGGAGAUACACUUAUGGAAAAUAUCAAAUUUUAGGAUUAAAAAAAAAGGCACAUGGGUCAAAAGCAUGUGACAUCAAUAGUGUAAUGUAUGGGCGAGGAGCGUUAUUAUUAGUACACUAUUUUAAAAAAGAAAAAGUUAGGGCACAUUUCAUAGAGAUACAUAGAGGAUAAAGUAGCAUCAUCUCUUCUAUUCUUUCCAUUUCAUUUGCUACA